UGGCCAUCAAUAUUGUGAGCAAUCGGUAUUUCUAUCUUUCUUUCUUUGCUAAAAUAAACAUUUUACUAAGAAAUCACAACAAACAAAGGUUUCCCGUCUUUCUGUUCAUAUGUAGCACACUGCAUGUCUCUUAGGCUGGAGUGGUUGUCAGGAGCAGAGCGUCCUCCUCUGGCAAUGAAGGAAAACAUUUGACUGAAGAGAGAAACCGGCUGUUAGUUCAAUAGUUUCACAGAUCAAUAACAGGUCAGUGCUGGAGGCAACUGUGAGGUUACGACUGUGACGGCAAGGUCAAAAUCUUCACUGUCGUUUGACAUGCUUUCCACCACGGAAAUGUAGAGGUGAAGAUGGGGCGAGAGGAAUGAGCCUGCUGCAUGUAACCUGACAUUUUUAAAUAGGAGCCAUGGUGGUCUCCAGUCAAAUCGAACAGAAGUGUCAUCACAUCAUAGACAUCCAACUCGAAUCAAGUAAGAGGUCUUUAGCAGCACCUCAAUGUGUUCUGGACCGUUGAAAGACAUUUUAAAUCAAUAAUGAACCAAACCAUCUAGCGUUGCCA
Long non-coding RNA from Carassius auratus (goldfish), 553 nucleotides. RefSeq lists it as uncharacterized. NCBI's taxonomy places the organism in Eukaryota, Metazoa, Chordata, Actinopteri, Cypriniformes, Cyprinidae. The record is from RefSeq and is a predicted model, not a curated record. The transcript has 3 exons.